Non-coding RNA from Saccharothrix sp. NRRL B-16348, 69 nucleotides. Lineage: Bacteria; Bacillati; Actinomycetota; Actinomycetes; Pseudonocardiales; Pseudonocardiaceae. The record is from Rfam.
CUUCACCGACCCCAACCACAACGGCUCCGAACGCUCCUGACCAUAAGUCGCCAACACAGCCUGCGCCUC